GAUGAACGCUGGCGGCGUGCCUAAUACAUGCAAGUCGAGCGAACAGACGAGGAGCUUGCUCCUCUGACGUUAGCGGCGGACGGGUGAGUAACACGUGGAUAACCUACCUAUAAGACUGGGAUAACUUCGGGAAACCGGAUCUAAUACCGGAUAAUAUAUUGAACCGCAUGGUUCAAUAGUGAAAGACGGUUUUGCUGUCACUUAUAGAUGGAUCCGCGCCGCAUUAGCUAGUUGGUAAGGUAACGGCUUACCAAGGCAACGAUGCGUAGCCGACCUGAGAGGGUGAUCGGCCACACUGGAACUGAGACACGGUCCAGACUCCUACGGGAGGCAGCAGUAGGGAAUCUUCCGCAAUGGGCGAAAGCCUGACGGAGCAACGCCGCGUGAGUGAUGAAGGUCUUCGGAUCGUAAAACUCUGUUAGUAGGGAAGAACAAAUGUGUAAGUAACUAUGCACGUCUUGACGGUACCUAAUCAGAAAGCAACGGCUAACUACGUG
RNAcentral lists this ribosomal RNA (497 nucleotides) under uncultured bacterium. RNAcentral's name for it is "partial 16S ribosomal RNA". It matches the Rfam family "Bacterial small subunit ribosomal RNA", at positions 28 to 507 of the family's 1533-position model. The record is from RNAcentral.